Molecule: ribosomal RNA, 552 nt
Filed under: uncultured delta proteobacterium
Lineage: Bacteria; Deltaproteobacteria
Description: bacterial SSU rRNA
Rfam family: Bacterial small subunit ribosomal RNA
Source: RNAcentral
CUGCGUCCGAUUAGCUUGUUGGUAAGGUAAUGGCUUACCAAGGCGAUGAUCGGUAGCUGGUCUGAGAGGAUGAUCAGCCACACUGGGAUUGAGAUACGGCCCAGACUCCUACGGGAGGCAGCAGUAAGGAAUUUUGCACAAUGGACGAAAGUCUGAUGCAGCAACGCCGCGUGAUUGAUGAAGCUUUUAGGAGUGUAAAGAUCUGUCGUGAGGGAAGAAAAAUUUAGAUGUAAAUAAUGUUUAAACUUGACGGUACCUUACAAGAAAGCACCGGCUAACUUCGUGCCAGCAGCCGCGGUAAUACGAGGGGUGCUAGCGUUGUCCGGAAUAACUGGGCGUAAAGGGUCCGUAGGCGUUUUGCUAAGUUGAUCGUUAAAUCCAUCGGCUUAACCGAUGAUAUGCGAUCAAAACUGGCAGAAUAGAAUAUGUGAGGGGAAUGUGGAAUUCCUGGUGUAGCGGUGACAUGCGUAGAUAUCAGGAGGAACACCGAUAGCGAAGGCAGCAUUCUGGCACAAUAUUGACGCUGAGGGACGAAAGCGUGGGGAGCGAACA